CAUGGCUCAAGAUGAACGCUGGCGGCGUGCUUAACACAUGCAAGUCGAACGGUGAACACGGAGCUUGCUCUGUGGGAUCAGUGGCGAACGGGUGAGUAACACGUGAGCAACCUGCCCCUGACUCUGGGAUAAGCGCGGAAACGGCGUCUAAUACGGAUAUGUGACGUGACCGCAUGGUCUGCGUCUGGAAAGAAUUUCGGUUGGGGAUGGGCUCGCGGCCUAUCAGCUUGUUGGUGAGGUAAUGGCUCACCAAGGCGUCGACGGGUAGCCGGCCUGAGAGGGUGACCGGCCACACUGGGACUGAGACACGGCCCAGACUCCUACGGGAGGCAGCAGUGGGGAAUAUUGCACAAUGGGCGCAAGCCUGAUGCAGCAACGCCGCUGAGGGACGAGGGCCUUCGGGUUGUAAACCUCUUUUAGCAGGGAAGAAGGAAAG
This 436-nucleotide ribosomal RNA is filed under the name bacterium Urfm116. RNAcentral's name for it is "bacterial SSU rRNA". It matches the Rfam family "Bacterial small subunit ribosomal RNA", at positions 18 to 455 of the family's 1533-position model. The record is from RNAcentral.